CCCCUUGAGCCGCCCCCGAACCCUCCCUAUAUUGGGAGUGUUCUUCGGAACUAUGGACAUAAACGCGCCUGUAAUAAGCGGAUCGGACCCGGGGGCGGUACCCGGCGGCUCCACCAAAUUCCCUUUCGUUGGAGGGUGUUAGGGGCCGAAACAGGAUCGACGAACGUGUAAAGAGGAAUGCUUUGUCUCGGUGAGGUACCACCGAUAUCGGUCCGUUAAGCAUAAUUGCCAACGACAAUCGUGCUCCGGUAGCUCUCGCCGCUUAAGCGGUGCGAAAAACCGAAAAUUAAGCCCAGCCCUCUAGCAAGGUCUGGCGGGGUUCGCAGGCACCUGGCAACAGAAGCCUGCACU
Molecule: transfer-messenger RNA, 351 nt
Filed under: Marivivens sp.
Lineage: Bacteria; Pseudomonadati; Pseudomonadota; Alphaproteobacteria; Rhodobacterales; Paracoccaceae
Rfam family: Alphaproteobacteria transfer-messenger RNA
About the family: Bacterial tmRNA, also known as 10Sa RNA or SsrA, is named for its dual tRNA and mRNA-like properties. Its role is to liberate the mRNA from a stalled ribosome.
Source: RNAcentral